Molecule: ribosomal RNA, 467 nt
Filed under: uncultured bacterium
Lineage: Bacteria
Description: partial 16S ribosomal RNA
Rfam family: Bacterial small subunit ribosomal RNA
Source: RNAcentral
GACGAACGCUGGCGGCGUGCUUAACACAUGCAAGUCGAACGGAAAGGCCCUGCUUUUGUGGGGUGCUCGAGUGGCGAACGGGUGAGUAACACGUGAGUAACCUGCCCUUGACUUUGGGAUAACUUCAGGAAACUGGGGCUAAUACCGGAUAGGAGCUCCUGCUGCAUGGUGGGGGUUGGAAAGUUUCGGCGGUUGGGGAUGGACUCGCGGCUUAUCAGCUUGUUGGUGGGGUAGUGGCUUACCAAGGCUUUGACGGGUAGCCGGCCUGAGAGUGUGACCGGCCACAUGGGGACUGAGAUACGGCCCAGACGCCUGCGGGAGGCAGCAGUGGGGAAUAUUGCACAAUGGGCGGAGGCCUGAUGCAGCAGCGCCGCGUGCGGGAUGACGGCCUUCGGGUUGUAAACCGCUUUCGCCUGUGACGAAGCGUGAGUGACGGUAAUGGGUAAAGAAGCACCGGCUAACUACGU